CUACGAGGGGCUCCAGUGGGGAAUAUUGGACAAUGGGGGAAACCCUGAUCCAGCAAUGCCGCGUGUGUGAAGAAGGCCUGCGGGUUGUAAAGCACUUUCGGUUGGGAGGACUGCUUCUAGCACUAAUAUUGUUGGAAGUUGACGUUACCUUCAGAAGAAGCACCGGCUAACUCCGUGCCAGCAGCCGCGGUAAUACGGAGGGUGCAAGCGUUGAAUCGGAAUUACUGGGCGUAAAGCGCGCGUAGGCGGCUAGAUCAGUCGGGUGUGAAAGCCCCGGGCUUAACCUGGGAACUGCAUCCGAUACUGUCUAGCUUGAGUACAGGAGAGGAGAGUGGAAUUCCACAUGUAGCGGUGAAAUGCGUAGAUAUGUGGAGGAACACCAAUGGCGAAGGCAGCUCUCUGGCCUGAUACUGACGCUGAGGUGCGAAAGCGUGGGGAGCAAACAGGAUUAGAUACCCUCGUAGUC
Molecule: ribosomal RNA, 466 nt
Filed under: uncultured bacterium
Lineage: Bacteria
Description: partial 16S ribosomal RNA
Rfam family: Bacterial small subunit ribosomal RNA
Source: RNAcentral